Molecule: non-coding RNA, 78 nt
Filed under: unclassified sequences
Description: DUF3800-VII RNA
Rfam family: DUF3800-VII RNA
Source: Rfam by way of RNAcentral
AAAGAACGCCGCCGGAUAACGCAAGGGUGUGUCACCAGCGUCUUAGACGCGGCAGUUGCGCCGGGAGUUCUUUCUAUA